GACGAACGCUGGCGGCGUGCUUAACACAUGCAAGUCUACGAGAACGAGAUAGCAAUAUUUUUAGUAAAGUGGCGCACGGGUGCGUAACACGUAAGCAAUCUACCUUUGGGUCUGGAAUAACUUCGAGAAAUCGAGGCUAAUACCGGAUAAUGCAGCGGCACCGCAUGGUGAUGUUGUUAAAGUUUGAGUAAUGCCUAUAGAUGAGCUUGCGUCUGAUUAGCUAGUUGGUAGGGUAAAGGCCUACCAAGGCUACGAUCAGUAGCUGGUCUGAGAGGAUGAUCAGCCACACUGGAACUGAGACACGGUCCAGACUCCUACGGGAGGCAGCAGUGAGGAAUAUUGGGCAAUGCCCGAAAGGGUGACCCAGCAACGCCGCGUGGAGGAUGAAGGCCGUAAGGUUGUAAACUCCUGUUAGAGGGGAAGAACAG
RNAcentral lists this ribosomal RNA (428 nucleotides) under uncultured bacterium. RNAcentral's name for it is "bacterial SSU rRNA". It matches the Rfam family "Bacterial small subunit ribosomal RNA", at positions 28 to 452 of the family's 1533-position model. The record is from RNAcentral.